RNAcentral lists this long non-coding RNA (1648 nucleotides) under Mus pahari (shrew mouse). RNAcentral's name for it is "lncRNA (MGP_PahariEiJ_G0005572.1)". Lineage: Eukaryota; Metazoa; Chordata; Mammalia; Rodentia; Muridae. The record is from RNAcentral.
CCAGUGCUCAGGAAUCUGCUCUUGUGAUGAUUACAGAGGCGGCUCCCGUGGGAUGGAGCUUUGGGGAAGGGAGGCGUGAAGAGCAGCAAUACACAGCCUCCCCCUUAUCCUCAGGGCACCGCACGGCACUGUGAGAGCUGACGUCUGUCUGUAAUGGCAGCAGUGUGAUCCUCUGGAUUAAGGAGGGCUUCAUGUGGACAGUGUGGACAGAGCCUGGAGCUCCUGUGACAUGGCCUGCCUCCUGAAGAGGAGUCUGUGGAUUCCCAUCAGCGCAUCCUCAGCCUCCAGCUCCCCACGCUGUUCCUGCAGCCCGGGCCUGGUUUUUAUACUGUCCCAGGCCACCAUCCCAGGCCUAGUCCCAGCUCUACGACCCACUCGCUGGGUGGCGCCUCAGCUCCAGCUUCCUCAUGAGCUCUCUCAGGUUACAGAGCCUGGCAUGAGCACUGUGCCUGUCAGACAAGAGGGACGCAAUCCCCCGCUCAGUCCUCAGAAGCUUCCUCUCUCACCCAGUCCCGCUCUCUGUUCGCUUAUGUUAGCCUGCCUGGGAAGCCAUCACCUUUUCUCCAGUCUCUCCCCCCAAACCUAGAAUGGCCAUGUGACACACUGUCUGCUUAGGGGCCACAUACAGGCAGAAACCAGGUGGAGAGCUCCCACAAGAUGUCUGCUUUCCUAAUGAAGACAGUGCUUGUGGCAGCAGCUGCCACGCUGGCACAAGUCAAAGACAAUAAAAACCGGGAUUGUCUUUGCUGCCACCACCGCGGGGUGCUGACCUCUGGGCUGCUUGUCCUGUGACAGAGCAUCUCUCUCUAAGUUCUGCAUGGUCAGGAAAGCACUCCGAACCGCGAGGACGCACUGCUCACCUGGGCAUGCUUGAAGAUGUGCAUGAUAAAGAUGGUGAGACCCAGGCCGAAGAUGUAGGCGGCGAAGCUGGUGUAGAAGUAGGUGUGCGUGUUCUUCUUCAAGCUGCAGGGAAGGCGGAAGCAAGAGGUUAGAGGGGUAACAUCCUUUCUGCAAAGACUGAAGCUGCAUACGUGUGAGGGGAGAGUCUCUGCCAGGAGCUGUGCACCUUGUAUUUCCCUGAGCUAUGUCUCUUUAGAUAAGUUAUCCUUCUUCCAUGCUUGGUUUAUACCUUUGCAAAAAACCAGGAAAGCCAUAGGCCAUUUGUAAAUAACAAAUGUAAAACUCUAGAAAUGUCUCUAAGAGUUUUAGCCAGCACAAAAUCUCUUGGGGGGAAAAAAAGGCGGCUCUAGGUUAUCCCCAUAGAAUCUAAGCUUGAGGCGAGGCCCAGGGAGUCUGCAAGGGACUGAGUCGGGCCCUGUGCAUGCUUGGCAAGUGUUCCUCUGAGCUCCAGGCCAGCCUUAUGCUUAGUUUCAUGACAGUCUGAAAAGAGCCGGAGGAGGAGGACCUCAGGGAACAGCUAGACCUGAACACAGUGGCUUAAGUCCAGCCUGACAAAGAUGGGUUGCAGCUGGCUUUCCCUUCCACUGGGUCAGCCUGUGCUCAGCGUUCUGCCCGACUUGGCACAGCAGACCUGAGAGGGAACUCUUGUUUACCCCCAUGGAUAUGAGAUUGAGGCUUACAAGGUCAGACUAGCCACUAAGGGCACAGAGCUACAAACACAAAUCUCAGAUAAAAGGAAUUUUGUUUU